Molecule: ribosomal RNA, 474 nt
Filed under: uncultured bacterium
Lineage: Bacteria
Description: bacterial SSU rRNA
Rfam family: Bacterial small subunit ribosomal RNA
Source: RNAcentral
GACGAACGCUGGCGGCGUGCCUAACACAUGCAAGUCGAACGAGAGUAGCAAUACUCUAGUGGCGGACGGGUGAGUAACACGUGGGUAACCAACCUUGAUGAGGGGAAUAGCCUUCCGAAAGGAAGAAUAAAACCGCAUAGAAUUAAUUUAUCGCAUGAUAGAUUAAUUAAAAGAGCAAUCUGCAUCAAGACGGGCCCGCGUCGCAUUAGCUAGUUGGUAGAGUAAAAGCCUACCAAGGCAACGAUGCGUAGCCGAUCUGAGAGGAUGAACGGCCACAUUGGAACUGAGAGACGGUCCAAACUCCUACGGGAGGCAGCAGUGGGGAAUAUUGCACAAUGGGGGAAACCCUGAUGCAGCGACGCCGCGUGAGUGAAGAAGGCCUUCGGGUUGUAAAGCUCUGUCAUUUGGGAAGAAGAAAGACGGUACCAAAUGAGGAAGCCACGGCUAACUACGUGCCAGCCGCCGCAGUAAAAC